GCCUGAUAGGGAAAGAGUCGCGUUGCUGGUCCGCAGUCAUUAGCUGGUUUCUCAGGCGCCCAUCUCCCUGGCAACUGACUGGCUGAGGACAGGGGAGGGCGGGGCCUUUGGUGUGGAAAAAGCACAGACUCCUUACCUAUUGCGGGCCGAGAGCUCCGAGGAGCAACGUGUCCCCUACCCUCCACCUCCGCCCGGCUAAGACGGCUCUUCCACCAGGACCCUGAGCCAUGGGAAACUCAGAAGGAAAUGCAUUCGGGGUCCUCGCGGGCGUUCUGCUCUCGGCAGCACACUAGCACACCAGUUUUCAAGGCGGCCGUCUCUUCUGAACAUCCUCGUGUCAUCUGACUCAGUGGAUCGCUGCACACCCCAAGGCAUCAGGCACACAGCCCGAGAAACCGAAAUGACAGUCAACAACGCCCAUCGUGCAAGUGAGUCAGCACACCAAGGUCCCUCGAAAUCUAACAAGUCUUUGCAAACAGUCAUUCGUCUUCAUUAAGGUGUUCUCCGAGAAAGGCCACUUCACAGGUGAGAGCCCGCUCAGCCCCUCACACUGAGCCACACAGAGAAAUCCCAUGGCUGGCUGAGUGACAUUCGUUGUGCAGACAAGAUGGAGGUGGUAGUCUGUCUUUCUGGCCUCUUUGAUAAAUAACCAGUUAGCCAGGUGUGGUAGAGCACAUCUGUAUUUCAGCAUUUGUGAGACAGAGCCAGUACAACCAGUGGGUAGUGUCAUCCUUGAUGUUCCAGGCCAACUUCGGGUAUCUGAGAUACUGUCUAAAUAUAAAAAAAUAAUAAAAUAUGUUUUUUUGA
Molecule: long non-coding RNA, 807 nt
Organism: Mesocricetus auratus (golden hamster)
Lineage: Eukaryota; Metazoa; Chordata; Mammalia; Rodentia; Cricetidae
Exons: 2
Source: RefSeq, a predicted model, not a curated record